UACGUAGGUGGCAAGCGUUGUCCGGAUUUACUGGGCGUAAAGAGCGCGCAGGCGGUCGUUCAAGUCGGAUGUGAAAGCCCCCGGCUCAACUGGGGAGGGUCAUUCGAUACUGAUCGACUUGAAGGCAGGAGAGGGAAGCGGAAUUCCCGGUGUAGUGGUGAAAUGCGUAGAUAUCGGGAGGAACACCAGUGGCGAAGGCGGCUUCCUGGCCUGUUCUUGACGCUGAGGCGCGAAAGCCAGGGGAGCAAACGGG
RNAcentral lists this ribosomal RNA (253 nucleotides) under uncultured bacterium. RNAcentral's name for it is "partial 16S ribosomal RNA". It matches the Rfam family "Bacterial small subunit ribosomal RNA", at positions 524 to 776 of the family's 1533-position model. The record is from RNAcentral.